Molecule: ribosomal RNA, 500 nt
Filed under: uncultured bacterium
Lineage: Bacteria
Description: partial 16S ribosomal RNA
Rfam family: Bacterial small subunit ribosomal RNA
Source: RNAcentral
AUUGAACGCUGGCGGCAUGCCUUACACAUGCAAGUCGAACGGUAACGGGUCCUUCGGGAUGCCGACGAGUGGCGAACGGGUGAGUAAUAUAUCGGAACGUGCCCAGUAGUGGGGGAUAACUGCUCGAAAGAGCAGCUAAUACCGCAUACGACCUGAGGGUGCAAGGGGGGGAUCGCAAGACCUCCCGCUAUUGGAGCGGCCGAUAUCAGAUUAGCUAGUUGGUGGGGUAAAGGCCUACCAAGGCAACGAUCUGUAGUUGGUCUGAGAGGACGACCAGCCACACUGGGACUGAGACACGGCCCAGACUCCUACGGGAGGCAGCAAUGGGGAAUUUUGGACAAUGGGCGCAAGCCUGAUCCAGCAAUGCCGCGUGCAGGAAGAAGGCCUUCGGGUUGUAAACUGCUUUUGUCAGGGAAGAAAUCUUCUGGGCUAAUACCCCGGGAGGAUGACGGUACCUGAAGAAUAAGCACCGGCUAACUACGUGCCAGCCGCCGCCGUAA